CCUACGGGUGGCUGCAGUGGGGAAUAUUGGACAAUGGGGGCAACCCUGAUCCAGCCAUGCCGCGUGUGUGAAGAAGGCCCUCGGGUUGUAAAGCACUUUCAGUGAGGAAGAACGCCUGGUGGUUAAUACCCAUCAGGAAAGACAUCACUCACAGAAGAAGCACCGGCUAACUCCGUGCCAGCAGCCGCGGUAAUACGGAGGGUGCGAGCGUUAAUCGGAAUUACUGGGCGUAAAGCGCGCGUAGGUGGCUUGAUAAGCCGGUUGUGAAAGCCCCGGGCUCAACCUGGGAACGGCAUCCGGAACUGUCAAGCUAGAGUGUAGGAGAGGAAGGUAGAAUUCCCGGUGUAGCGGUGAAAUGCGUAGAGAUCGGGAGGAAUACCAGUGGCGAAGGCGGCCUUCUGGACUGACACUGACACUGAGGUGCGAAAGCGUGGGUAGCAAACAGGAUUAGAUACCCCGGUAGUC
RNAcentral lists this ribosomal RNA (465 nucleotides) under Vreelandella stevensii. RNAcentral's name for it is "partial 16S ribosomal RNA". It matches the Rfam family "Bacterial small subunit ribosomal RNA", at positions 338 to 795 of the family's 1533-position model. Lineage: Bacteria; Pseudomonadati; Pseudomonadota; Gammaproteobacteria; Oceanospirillales; Halomonadaceae. The record is from RNAcentral.